AAGAAGUGUCAAGAAGUGGUGUUGAGUUUGCAGUACUAUAUACCAUCCCAGAGGAGGCUCUAAAACCUCAGCAAGUAGGAGAUAACAGAGCCAAUGGAUUGCAUGUGUUAGGUAAGCAACAAAACUCCAGUAGUGAUAUAAAUUAUUGGAACAAUGUUCAUCUGGGGAAUUGCAGACAAAGCAGCCCUGAGGAAACGCAUAGAGAGCCUUGUUUCAGCCGAGGCUUGAAUAACAGCAGCAGUGAAAACCACUGAUGAUGAGAGGAGAGGUAAUCAGAUGAGAGGGGAGAAAACCAUCUGAAGCCACUAUAUUUACCUCCAGGUAUUUUGAUGUGACCAGUAUUUUUUUUUUAAUGGACACUUUAUAUAAAGGCUCAAUUCUGAAUGGGACUAAUCAACUCCAGCCAGUGGGAAAUUAAGAAACAGUACAAAGCUUCAAGACUGUCAUGACAAAUGGAUUAGAAGAAAUCAUUUAGACUUACGGAAAAUUGUUGGGGGCUGAAUGCUGCAAUGUUUGCUCAGUGUAUGUGAGAACAUAAAAUAGCUUCUCAGUAUUUAGGUGAAAUUGUG
This is a long non-coding RNA of Nothoprocta perdicaria, 569 nucleotides long. RefSeq lists it as uncharacterized. Lineage: Eukaryota; Metazoa; Chordata; Aves; Tinamiformes; Tinamidae. The transcript is spliced from 4 exons. The record is from RefSeq and is a predicted model, not a curated record.